ACUACAUAUCAUAGCGGAGGAAAAGAAACUAACAAGGAUUCCCCUAGUAACUGCGAGUGAAGCGGGAAAAGCUCAAAUUUAAAAUCUGGUGGCCUUUGUCCAUCCGAGUUGUAAUUUAGAGAAGCGUCUUCCGCGCUGGACCGUGCACAAGUCUCCUGGAACGGAGCGUCAUAGAGGGUGAGAAUCCCGUCUUUGGCACGGACACACCAGGGCUUUUGUGAUGCGCUCUCAAAGAGUCGAGUUGUUUGGGAAUGCAGCUCAAAAUGGGUGGUGAACUCCAUCUAAAGCUAAAUAUUGGCGAGAGACCGAUAGCGAACAAGUACCGUGAGGGAAAGAUGAAAAGCACUUUGGAAAGAGAGUGAAACAGUACGUGAAAUUGUUGAAAGGGAAACGCUUGAAGUCAGUCGCGUCGCCCGAGACUCAGCCUUGCCUCGGCUUGGUGUACUUCUCGGCUGACGGGUCAGCAUCAAUUUUGCCCCUUGGAUAAUGGCGAGGGAAAUGUGACACCUUUACGGGUGUGUUAUAGUCUCUCGUCGCAUGCAAGGGUCGGGAUUGAGGAACUCAGCACGCGCCCUCGGGCGUCGGGGCAUCUGCCCACGAUACGUGCUUAGGAUGUUGGCGUAAUGGCUUUAAACGACCCGUCUUGAAACACGGACCAAGGAGUCUAACAUGCCCGCGAGUGUUCGGGUGGAAAACCCGUGCGCGCAAUGAAAGUGAAAGUUGGGACCUCUGUCGUGGAGGGCACCGACGCCCGGACCAGACCUUCUGUGACGGAUCUGCGGUAGAGCGUGUAUGUUAGGACCCGAAAGAUGGUGAACUAUGCCUGAAUAGGGUGAAGCCAGAGGAAACUCUGGUGGAGGCUCGUAGCGAUUCUGACGUGCAAAUCGAUCGUCRAAAUUUGGGUAUAGGGGCGAAAGACUAAUCGAACC
RNAcentral lists this ribosomal RNA (929 nucleotides) under Russula sp. RNAcentral's name for it is "partial large subunit ribosomal RNA". The record is from RNAcentral. Lineage: Eukaryota; Fungi; Basidiomycota; Agaricomycetes; Russulales; Russulaceae.